This 403-nucleotide ribosomal RNA is filed under the name uncultured bacterium. RNAcentral's name for it is "bacterial SSU rRNA". It matches the Rfam family "Bacterial small subunit ribosomal RNA", at positions 355 to 775 of the family's 1533-position model. The record is from RNAcentral.
UAGGGAAUAUUAGAAAUGGACGCAAGUCUGAUCUAGCAACACCGCGUGUGCGAAGAAGGCCUUCGGGUCGUAAAGCACUUUUUGGAAGGAAUAGGAAGGAAUGUACUUCCGGAAUAAGUCUCGGCUAACUACGUGCCAGCAGCCGCGGUAACACGUAGGAGGCAAACGUUAUCCGGAUUUACUGGGCGUAAAGCGCGUGUAGGUGGUACUGUAAGUAGGGCGUGAAAGCUCCUGGCUCAACUGGGAGAGGCCGUUCUAAACUACAGAACUAGAGGAUGGUAGAGGGAGGUGGAAUUCCAGGUGUAGCGGUGGAAUGCACAGAUAUCUGGAGGAACACCGGUGGCGAAGGCAGCCUCCUGGACCAUUCCUGACACUCAGACGCGAAAGCUAGGGUAGCAAACGG